This is a long non-coding RNA of Lates calcarifer (barramundi perch), 3523 nucleotides long. RefSeq lists it as uncharacterized. The transcript is spliced from 9 exons. The record is from RefSeq and is a predicted model, not a curated record. NCBI's taxonomy places the organism in Eukaryota, Metazoa, Chordata, Actinopteri, Centropomidae.
AGAUUGAAACGAACGCUUGAACCGUUGACCCCGGUUUGUCAGUACUGUGAGAAAACUGAAUUACCGAAGGAACUUGGAUGCUAAAACAAGCGUUUGAGCUGCUUUACUGUCGAGUAGGAGUCAGCCUGGACGCUGAAUACACCUACGGCGCCAAGGUGUCACCACUUUUUCCACCACAUCGUGCAUGAUCGCCCGAGACAUUGUCAACGAUCGGAGAGACAUUGUUGAGGAUGAGGGAGACAUGGUCCACGAUCAGAGACGUCGUCUAUGGUCGCAGAGACAUUGUCAAAGACGAGAGAGACGUUGUCCAUGGUCAGAGACAUUGUCCCAUGCUUCGUAGAGACCUUGCGAUAGAAUCGGCGGAGACUGGGGUCACCGAUUUGACGGCACUGCCCGCGAUCAUGGAGACAUUGUCGAUGAUCACAGAGACAGCGUCUAUGAUCUCAGAGACAUCGUCCACGAUCACAAAGACAUUGUCCAUGAUCACAGAGACUUUGUCCAUAAUCUCAGAGACAUUGUCUGCGAUCACAGAGACAUAGUCCACGAUCACAGAGACGUAGUCCAUGAUUACAGAAAGUCUCAUUCAAUGAGGAAGUUCUUUGAGACCAGGACAGAGGCCUCCAGGUGUCACCACUUUUUCCACCACAUCGUCCACGAUUGCUGAGACAUCGUCAACGAUCGGAGAGACAUUGUUGAGGAUGAGGGAGACAUGGUCCACGAUCAGAGACGUCGUCUAUGGUCGCAGAGACCUUGUCAAAGACGAGAGAGACGUUGUCCAUGGUCAGAGACAUUGUCCCAUGCUUCGUAGAGACCUUGCGAUAGAAUCGGCGGAGACUGGGGUCACCGAUUUGACGGCACUGCCCGCGAUCAUGGAGACAUUGUCGAUGAUCACAGAGACAGCGUCUAUGAUCUCAGAGACAUCGUCCACGAUCACAAAGACAUUGUCCAUGAUCACAGAGACUUUGUCCAUAAUCUCAGAGACAUUGUCCGCGAUCACAAAGACGUAGUCCACGAUCACAGAAAGUCUCAUUCAAUCAGGAAGUUCUUUGAGACCAGGACAGAGGCCUCCAGGUGUCACCACUUUUUCCACCACAUCGUCCAUGAUCGCCCGAGACAUCGUCCACGAUCGGAGAGACAUUGUUGAGGAUGAGGGAGACAUGGUCCACGAUCAGAGACGUCGUCUAUGGUCGCAGAGACCUUGUCAAAGACGAGAGAGACGUUGUCCAUGGUCAGAGACAUUGUCCCAUGCUUCGUAGAGACCUUGCGAUAGAAUCGGCGGAGACGGGGGUCACCGAUUUGACGGCACUGCCCGCGAUCAUGGAGACAUUGUCGAUGAUCACAGAGACAGCGUCUAUGAUCUCAGAGACAUCGUCCACGAUCACAAAGACAUUGUCCAUGAUCACAGAGACUUUGUCCAUAAUCUCAGAGACAUUGUCCGCGAUCACAAAGACGUAGUCCACGAUCACAGAGACGUAGUCCAUGAUCACAGAAAGUCUCAUUCAAUGAGGAAGUUCUUUGAGACCAGGACAGAGGCCUCCAGGUGUCACCACUUUUUCCACCACAUCGUCCACGAUUGCUGAGACAUCGUCAACGAUCGGAGAGACAUUGUUGAGGAUGAGGGAGACAUGGUCCACGAUCAGAGACGUCGUCUAUGGUCGCAGAGACCUUGUCAAAGACGAGAGAGACGUUGUCCAUGGUCAGAGACAUUGUCCCAUGCUUCGUAGAGACCUUGCGAUAGAAUCGGCGGAGACUGGGGUCACCGAUUUGACGGCACUGCCCGCGAUCAUGGAGACAUUGUCGAUGAUCACAGAGACAGCGUCUAUGAUCUCAGAGACAUCGUCCACGAUCACAAAGACAUUGUCCAUGAUCACAGAGACUUUGUCCAUAAUCUCAGAGACAUUGUCCGCGAUCACAAAGACGUAGUCCACGAUCACAGAAAGUCUCAUUCAAUGAGGAAGUUCUUUGAGACCAGGACAGAGGCCUCCAGGUGUCACCACUUUUUCCACCACAUCAUCCAUGAUCGCCCGAGACAUCGUCCACGAUCGGAGAGACAUUGUUGAGGAUGAGGGAGACAUGGUCCACGAUCAGAGACGUCGUCUAUGGUCGCAGAGACCUUGUCAAAGACGAGAGAGACGUUGUCCAUGGUCAGAGACAUUGUCCCAUGCUUCGUAGAGACCUUGCGAUAGAAUCGGCGGAGACGGGGGUCACCGAUUUGACGGCACUGCCCGCGAUCAUGGAGACAUUGUCGAUGAUCACAGAGACAGCGUCUAUGAUCUCAGAGACAUCGUCCACGAUCACAAAGACAUUGUCCAUGAUCACAGAGACUUUGUCCAUAAUCUCAGAGACAUUGUCCGCGAUCACAAAGACGUAGUCCACGAUCACAGAGACGUAGUCCAUGAUCACAGAAAGUCUCAUUCAAUGAGGAAGUUCUUUGAGACCAGGACAGAGGCCUCCAGGUGUCACCACUUUUUCCACCACAUCGUCCACGAUUGCUGAGACAUCGUCAACGAUCGGAGAGACAUUGUUGAGGAUGAGGGAGACAUGGUCCACGAUCAGAGACGUCGUCUAUGGUCGCAGAGACCUUGUCAAAGACGAGAGAGACGUUGUCCAUGGUCAGAGACAUUGUCCCAUGCUUCGUAGAGACCUUGCGAUAGAAUCGGCGGAGACUGGGGUCACCGAUUUGACGGCACUGCCCGCGAUCAUGGAGACAUUGUCGAUGAUCACAGAGACAGCGUCUAUGAUCUCAGAGACAUCGUCCACGAUCACAAAGACAUUGUCCAUGAUCACAGAGACUUUGUCCAUAAUCUCAGAGACAUUGUCCGCGAUCACAAAGACGUAGUCCACGAUCACAGAAAGUCUCAUUCAAUGAGGAAGUUCUUUGAGACCAGGACAGAGGCCUCCAGGUGUCACCACUUUUUCCACCACAUCGUCCAUGAUCGCCCGAGACAUCGUCCACGAUCGGAGAGACAUUGUUGAGGAUGAGGGAGACAUGGUCCACGAUCAGAGACGUCGUCUAUGGUCGCAGAGACCUUGUCAAAGACGAGAGAGACGUUGUCCAUGGUCAGAGAUAUGUCCCAUGCUUCGUAGAGACCUUGCGAUAGAAUCGGCGGAGACUGGGGUCACCGAUUUGACGGCACUGCCCGCGAUCAUGGAGACAUUGUCGAUGAUCACACAGACAGCGUCUAUGAUCUCAGAGACAUCGUCCACGAUCACAGAGACUUUGUCCAUAAUCUCAGAGACUUUGUCCAUAAUCUCAGAGACUUUGUCCAUAAUCUCAGAGACAUUGUCCGCGAUCACAGAGCCGUAGUCCACGAUCACAGAGAGUCUUCGUACAAUGAAGAAGUUCUUUGAGACCAGGACAGAGUCCUCCAGGAGGAGAAGACCACAUCAACUGAAGAGGACAACAAAAGUAGUUAAAUGUUGUUCAAGAUGUUUAGUGAUGUAUAAGACUGAAGCAUAUCUCCAUAAGUGCUCAUCACUGUAUUAAAUGUGAGGUGAGAGAAUAAAAUAUGUCUCCAUGUGG